This is an RNA transcript of Helianthus annuus (common sunflower), 2472 nucleotides long. It is a transcript of the gene named TATA-binding protein-associated factor 2N, with no coding region annotated. NCBI's taxonomy places the organism in Eukaryota, Viridiplantae, Streptophyta, Magnoliopsida, Asterales, Asteraceae. The transcript is spliced from 3 exons. The record is from RefSeq and is a predicted model, not a curated record.
AUGAAUAAAAGGGCGAAAGCAAAUAAGAAAUUAGGUAUACGAUUAUUAUUAUUAUUAUUGUUAUUACUACAAUACAAUAGAAUACAAUACAAUUGUAGAAAGAUAAGAUCGUGAAUUUGCUUUGAACAGUGAAUACACACACACACACAGAUGCAGGUUAAGGUAUAUCGUUGAUUGACUCAUCGUGUUCACUUGAUGGCUGAAGAACAUUUAGAUUUUGGAGAUGAGGAAUUUGGCGGGUCUCAGAAGAUGCAAUAUCAUGGCGAUGGGGCAAUCCCUGCACUUGCAGAUGAUGAGAUUGUAGGUGAAGAUGACGAAUAUGAUGAUCUGUACAAUGAUGUUAAUGUUGGUGAAAAUUUUCUUCAAAUGCAACGUGCUGCUGAGUUACUACCAUCUGCUAAUGCUGGAAACGGAAAAUUCCAUGAUCAAAAACCCAAUGUUGUGGAAACACAACCCGAACCUACGUCACAAGACUUAAAUAUAAACACAAACAUACCCAAACCCGUUUAUCCAAGUACUGGCUUGAGUAAAGAAGGGCUGACCGUUGACCUUUCGCAAAAAAGAAUGGUUCCUCAAGUGAGUAACGAUACAGGUUUUCACGCCCCCCAAAACUCCCUGGUUGAACCCGUUCCGGGGCCCGUUGGAAAUGAAUCUGGACCUAUGUUAAAUUCAAAUAUAAGUCAUGAUCCAGCUGGCGUUGGCGGUCCUCAAAUGCCAGGUCAUCAGAUGGGUGUGAAUCAAGUUCGACCACCAGCAGACAAUGGUGCGACCACUCUGUUUGUUGGUGAGCUACACUGGUGGACAACAGAUGCAGAGCUGGAAAAUGUUUUAUCUCAAUACGGAAGAGUAAAAGAAAUAAAGUUUUUUGAUGAACGGGCUAGUGGAAAGUCGAAGGGAUAUUGUCAAGUUGACUUUUAUGAUUCAGGUUCGGCUGCUGCUUGUAAAGACGGGAUGAACGGUUAUGUUUUCAAUGGAAGACCAUGUGUGGUGGCAUUUGCUUCCCCUCAGACUAUAAGACAAAUGGGUGCUUCUUAUGGUAACAAAAAUCAAGGACCAACCAUUCAGUCCCAGGCGGAACCACCAGGGCGGAGACCGGCGAAUGACAUGGCGGGAAGAGGCGGUGGGAAUAAUUUUUCCGGCGGAGAUACAGGGCGUAAUUACGGGCGGGGUAACUGGGGCCGAGGAGGAGGGCAGGGGGGUAUGAAUCGGGGGAAUAUGAGAGGUAGAGGGGGUAUGGGACCAAAGAAUAUGAACACACCUGGGUUUGGAAAUGGUCCAGCUGGUGGCGGUUAUGGGGGCCCGGGUUUCGGCGGCCCUCCUGGUGGGUUCAUGCCGCCUCAAGGUAUGAUGGGUGGUGGUUUUGAUCCGACGUAUAUGGGUCGUGGAGCGGGUUACGGUGGUUUUCCAGGAUCCGGUUUUCCCGGUAUGAUGCCACAGUUUCCGGGUGUUAAUACGAUGGGACUUGCUGGGGUGGCACCGCAUGUGAACCCCGCUUUCUUUGGGCGGGGGAUGGGUGGCGGUGGUAUGGGGAUGAUGGGUACUGGUGGGAUGGAGGGACCUCAAGCAGGAAUGUGGGGUGACACUAGUAUGGGUGGGGGGUGGAAUGGAGAAGAACAAGGUCAAGGUCAAAGAACUCGAGAGUCAAGUUACGGUGGUGAAGAUGGCGGUUCAGAAUACGGGUAUGGUGGCGGUGAGACUAGCCAUGAAAAAGUAACGACCAAUAGGUCAAACGCUGUUUCUCGUGAAAAAGAGCGUGAAUGGUCUGGAAAUUCAGAGAAAAAGCACCGUGAAGAGCGGGACCCGGACCGUGAUCGUGAUCGUUACAACAAAGAUUACAAAUACAAAGAGGAAAAAGACAGUUACCGGGACCACCACCGUCAGAAGGACCGCACCACUGAUUACGACGACGACUGGGAACAUGGUGGUCGGUCUUCAACACGGUCCAGGAGCCGAUCCCGAGCCAUGCCUGCAGAAGACGACCACCACCACCACCGUUCACGAUCAAGGGACGCAGAUUAUGGGAAACGGAGACGCAUGAGGUCAGAUUAACAUUAACCGGUGGUCAUACUACACCAUAUGCAGAAAUCAGCUUCAGGAUUUAAAAAGGAACGUUAUGACUUGGGCGAAGCAGACCUGAUUCAUUGGUUUCUAUGAAAUUGGCUAAGUUAUAUUUUGCAUCAACUGAAUGACUGCUGGAACACACCAAAUUAUAAGUUUAUAUUUUUCAUGCUGUCAUUAAGUAUUUGAUUUGUUGUAUCGAGAAUCUGUUUAUGUUGUUUAGAAUCGAGUGUCGGGUAUGCAGCCCAUUUUUCAGUUGUAAAUACCGAUGUAAUGUAUGCAGCGUUUAAGCUCCAAAAUGGGGAUGUAAUGUGUAGAUGUAGAUCAUGCUAAUUUUAGGCUUUGGGUUGCUUCCUGUAUUUUAAAAGGGCUGCAAUUCAAACAGUUUUCCGCAUGCUUUGUAUGCUUUAGCUU